Molecule: transfer RNA, 70 nt
Filed under: Perccottus glenii (Chinese sleeper)
Lineage: Eukaryota; Metazoa; Chordata; Actinopteri; Gobiiformes; Odontobutidae
Description: tRNA-Gly
Source: RNAcentral
ACCUUUCUAGUAUAAAGUAGUAUAAGUGACUUCCAAUCACCCSGUCUUGRUUAAACCCCAGGGAAAGAUA